UGACGGUACCUGACUAAGAAGCCCCGGCUAACUACGUGCCAGCAGCCGCGGUAAUACGUAGGGGGCAAGCGUUAUCCGGAUUUACUGGGUGUAAAGGGAGCGUAGACGGUUCUGCAAGUCUGAUGUGAAAGGCAGGGGCUCAACUCCUGGACUGCAUUGGAAACUGUAGAACUAGAGUGCCGGAGAGGUAAGCGGAAUUCCUAGUGUAGCGGUGAAAUGCGUAGAUAUUAGGAGGAACACCAGUGGCGAAGGCGGCUUACUGGACGGUAACUGACGUUGAGGCUCGAAAGCGUGGGGAGCAAACAGGAUUAGAUACCCUG
RNAcentral lists this ribosomal RNA (320 nucleotides) under uncultured bacterium. RNAcentral's name for it is "bacterial SSU rRNA". It matches the Rfam family "Bacterial small subunit ribosomal RNA", at positions 470 to 789 of the family's 1533-position model. The record is from RNAcentral.